UAUAAUUAUAUACGUUAACGUUUCGAUUGAAAAAUUGAACGUUAUCGAGCUAAAAAGCGUUAUCAAUCCAGGUAUUUUCCCUGCUUCGGCUUUAAAAGCCUUGAAACUAUAAUAGCUUUCUAAGAUGCCUCGAAAACUUCACCUUCGAUUCGAUCCGGGUAAUUACAUCGAGAGGAAAAUCGCGUGACAUUUUAAGCGUCACACUCGUAUAAAAUUAAUACCGUAGUCAAGGAUCCCGAUAUUGCUUCGAAUUUUUCUUUUUUUUAUUAAACACGUUUCGUAUUUUCGUUCUCUCUCGACCCGAUAAAACAAAGGCGGGAAGAUAAGUCACGUGACUUCCGGAGCGACUCGCUUCCACGAAGGGGUGAGCGCGAUGGCCGCAAUGUCCUGUGUGUCACGUUUCAACAAUCGAGCGUUAAAACAGUGUCCACGAUGAUGGGAAACGAUCACGGUUUCUUUCUUUUUUUUUUUUUUAGAAAGAAAAAAGAAAAACCGCAAUUUCCUUCGAGAGUAGCGGAAUCAAGGAUACGGAUACUUUCCCUCGUGUCGCGGCUCGUGGAAUCCGUUUGUUCUGGAAUUACAACGCGGGGGAAAAAGGCCUUGAUAUUUUGAUGCAAAUUGUGACUUAUAAUCGAGAAAAGUUAUACACAAGGAUAUAUUAUAUCUUUAAGUACGAAAUAAAAUCGAUCAGUUCAAUUUUGUAAGAAGAACGCGUUUAAAUUAUUAUCUCGUACAAUUACGCGAUAUUCCUUUUUUUUUUCUCUCUCUCUUCCAUAUCACUUUAUUUAUCACGUUAUUGGACAAGGUAACGUUUAUGUAAUUUUAACGCCUUGCCUCGCUCCUUAGAUCUUAAUUGCUUAACAGGCUAAUACCAGGUUUAACCUGAGAAAACACGCAAUAAUAACACGUCAUCAUCGAGUCGUACAAGUGCCAAGCACCACUAGCUUCUCUAAUACGGAUUUUAUUUCCAGAAGCAGAAAGGAAGAGAGAUACGAUCUCUGUAUUUUCCAUAUUUACCGAUUAUCGAUCUUCGGCCCCAAUUGAAUUCUUUAUUGAUUGUCGAGGGUUCAACAAACCUGACAGUCAAGUCAAGAGGGAGGAGGAGGAGGAGGAAUCGGAAGAUAAAGGAACGAGCAAGCUUUUUAUCCGCGGUUGCCAAUUAUCAAGCGGGGAAGAGCGAUCUCGGUCACCCUUCAAGAUUCUGACCUGACCUCGGAUCGGAAUUGAAGCGUCGGGGACUUCUUAAAGCCCGUACAUAGUGGCCGGCAAUCCUGGCCAAUCAGCGGACAAACAGACGCGCCGGGAAUAAAGAAAUUAAUUUAAUCUUUCCUCGUCAAAAUCGCAAUGGAGAAAACGAUCUCGUGCGAAUAUCUGUUGAGGUAUUUCUAUUGAUUCGUCGAUCUUGAAAAUUUUUGGGUUCCUGGUUGCUUUAAAUGUCAAUGGAGACAGUCUUAAUAAACUUUUAAGUGAUGAUUGAUUCAUGUAAUGGAAAAUUGGAAGAUUCUAUUAUCAGGAAAUAAUUUCUAGAAUUUCUAAAUAUUACUUUUCAAGAAUACAACGAUUCUCUUUACAAAAUGCAAACAAUUGGAAAUAUGAAAAUUAAAAGAUUGAAAAUUUAAGAAGAUCAGAAUUGAAAUUUGAAUAUUCAAAAGUCAAAAGAAAAAUUCAACGAUUGUCACGAAACAAAGACAUAAAUUUCAAAGUGGAAAAACUCUCUCGACUGCAAGUCUCGCGUGCUUCAAUCUAGAAGAAAAAAGAAAGAAAGAAAGAAAGAAACGUUGCGUCGAGGAGACGAAGUCUUUGCGAUUUCAAGUGCGAUUUCAUUUAGCAAAAGUCGAGUGGGUUCUCGCUCGAGACUGACGCCACUUGUCGGCGAGGAAACGAGGAAUUAAAAGGAAAAGCGUGUUAAAGGGGAAAGGCUUCCAUCCCCCUUUUAACAUUUCCGUACAACCAAUAAUGAAAUUCCCUUUUUUUCAUUUCGCCCAUCGAGCCACUCGUCGUCGAUCUGAAGAUUAAAUUAACCAUGUUUCAUCUCCCUCGAUUGUUCCUGGAAAAUAUUUUAUACACUGGAUGAAAGUGAGAAAGAUUAAUUCCCGUUAAGGAUGAAAGAAGUUGAAGGAAUGCAAUUCGCUGUUAUUCCAUUAGCAACGAUGGUUUGUGCAACGGUUUAAUUACUUUAGACGUAUCCUUGAAACUGAUAUCGUGCUUUGAAUUGUAAAUUUAGAUAAUCAGAUAAUGCGUUAUAAUUAACGAUAUAGAAUAUCCACAGGGAUUGGGACAAUUAUGGAAAAGAAAUGAAAAAAGAAGAUUGUUGAAAGCUGUUUCGGAUUAGAAAUCUCGAAAACUCUUGGAGAAGAAUUAAUUUUCACGAUAAUUGUUAUAUCGAUAAAAUUUCUUGAAACGAUUAUCAUUUCAGAUUUUCUUCAAGAAUCGACCAAGCUCUCUUUUUCGAAUUUUAUAAAUUUGAAUAAUUUAAAAAAAAAUAUCUACUCCCAUUAAUUUUCCUUCUUCGAGC
Molecule: long non-coding RNA, 2515 nt
Filed under: Apis mellifera (honey bee)
Lineage: Eukaryota; Metazoa; Arthropoda; Insecta; Hymenoptera; Apidae
Description: uncharacterized LOC113219107
Source: RNAcentral